GAUGAACGCUGGCGGCGUGCCUAAUACAUGCCAGUCGAGCGAACAGACGAGGAGCUUGCUCCUCUGACGUUAGCGGCGGACGGGUGAGUAACACGUGGAUAACCUACCUAUAAGACUGGGAUAACUUCGGGAAACCGGAGCUAAUACCGGAUAAUAUAUUGAACCGCAUGGUUCAAUAGUAAAAGACGGUUUUGCUGUCACUUAUAGAUGGAUCCGCGCCGCAUUAGCUAGUUGGUAAGGUAACGGCUUACCAAGGCAACGAUGCGUAGCCGACCUGAGAGGGUGAUCGGCCACACUGGAACUGAGACACGGUCCAGACUCCUACGGGAGGCAGCAGUAGGGAAUCUUCCGCAAUGGGCGAAAGCCUGACGGAGCAACGCCGCGUGAGUGAUGAAGGUCUUCGGAUCGUAAAACUCUGUUAUUAGGGAAGAACAAAUGUGUAAGUAACUAUGCACGUCUUGACGGUACCUAAUCAGAAAGCCACGGCUAACUACGUG
RNAcentral lists this ribosomal RNA (497 nucleotides) under uncultured bacterium. RNAcentral describes it as "partial 16S ribosomal RNA". It matches the Rfam family "Bacterial small subunit ribosomal RNA", at positions 28 to 507 of the family's 1533-position model. The record is from RNAcentral.